GUGCUCACUUGAGCAGCACAAAUGCUAAAACCGGAAUGAUACAGAGAAGAUUAGUACUGCCCCUGCACAAGGAUGUCACACAAAUUUUGAAGUGUUCCAAAUUUUU
This 106-nucleotide small nuclear RNA is filed under the name Castor canadensis (American beaver). The record is from RNAcentral. Lineage: Eukaryota; Metazoa; Chordata; Mammalia; Rodentia; Castoridae.